RNAcentral lists this ribosomal RNA (253 nucleotides) under uncultured bacterium. RNAcentral's name for it is "partial 16S ribosomal RNA". It matches the Rfam family "Bacterial small subunit ribosomal RNA", at positions 524 to 776 of the family's 1533-position model. The record is from RNAcentral.
UACGUAGGGCGCAAGCGUUAUCCGGAAUUAUUGGGCGUAAAGAGCUCGUAGGCGGUUUGUCGCGUCUGCCGUGAAAGUCCGGGGCUCAACUCCGGAUCUGCGGUGGGUACGGGCAGACUAGAGUGAUGUAGGGGAGACUGGAUUCCUGGUGUAGCGGUGGAAUGCGCAGAUAUCAGGAGGACACCGGUGGCGAAGGCGGGCUCUGGGCUGUAACUGGACCGGCUGAGGAGCGAAAGCGUGGGUAGCGAACAGG